GACACUCGUUAUUAUCUCUAGUGGUAAUAUAGAAGAAAGGGGCGACUGUUGUCAGAAAACAACACAAGGUCUAAGAUAUUGUACGAUCUCUAAAGAAUUUCUACAGUCCUGACAACUGUCCAAGACCAAUAUGAGUCCUUCUAACCCACUUUAAAAGCGAGCUGCAGUCCUAGGUCAGUGUCGUGCGGCGCUAGGCGUGCUGCACUUGUCGCACUGCUGCUGCUGCUGGCGUUACCGUCGAUGCUGGGGACUGAUGACGAGUUUCGCUGCUACAACGGGGGCACGGUAUAUUUUAUCAGAACUGACACCCCUAGUGUUUAUAAAAGUUCGAUGUAGAUGUUUGUCAGGCUACGUCGGGAGAUAUUGUGACUUACGUUUCGGGACUCCGGUACCGCAUGAUGCUAAGCGCAACUUAUUCGAGUUACUGGGACGGACAACGCGGCUGAUGAGUCUGAAGAGCGGAGAGUAGAAGGGUGGAGGGGUCGUGAGAGAACACACAUCAGUCCGAAUUGUUGACAGCACAAGCCAGCAAAAUACCAAUAUCCUGGAUGAGUUCUCAUGUUUUUGCCAACGACACCGAGCAGGCGACAACGGCUUUGUUGACAUCAACUGUCGACAGUGAAUAAUAUAGGCAACGGUGUCUGUGAUGAAGACAUGUUGAACUGAAAAUGUCAAUAUAAGAGUUAUCCAUCUUGACUAA
Long non-coding RNA from Pomacea canaliculata, 700 nucleotides. RefSeq lists it as uncharacterized. The transcript is spliced from 2 exons. The record is from RefSeq and is a predicted model, not a curated record. NCBI's taxonomy places the organism in Eukaryota, Metazoa, Mollusca, Gastropoda, Architaenioglossa, Ampullariidae.